Small nucleolar RNA from Rosa rugosa (rugosa rose), 105 nucleotides. RefSeq annotates it as small nucleolar RNA snoR100. The transcript has a single exon. The record is from RefSeq and is a predicted model, not a curated record. NCBI's taxonomy places the organism in Eukaryota, Viridiplantae, Streptophyta, Magnoliopsida, Rosales, Rosaceae.
AAAGGAAGGAAGCAUGGUGAUGUGCACAGAAAUUGAAUUUACGGGUCCGCAUGUCUGCCCUCUCUGAUCUUCUCUGAUUUGAGGGCCUGGUUACGACCCACAUCU